AUUGAACGCUGGCGGCAGGCUUAACACAUGCAAGUCGAACGAGCGGCGGACGGGUGAGUAAUGUAUGGGGAUCUGCCCGAUGGAGGGGGAUAACUACUGGAAACGGUAGCUAAUACCGCAUACCAUCAGAUGUGCCCAUAUGGGAUUAGCUUGUAGGUGGGGUAACGGCUCACCUAGGCGACGAUCCCUAGCUGGUCUGAGAGGAUGACCAGCCAGACUGGGACUGAGACACGGCCCAGACUCCUACGGGAGGCAGCAGUGGGGAAUAUUGCACAAUGGGCGCAAGCCUGAUGCAGCCAUGCCGCGUGUAUGAAGAAGGACUUCGGGUUGUAAAGUACUUUCAGUCGGGAGGCGUUACCCGCAGAAGAAGCACCGGCUAACUCCGUGCCAGCAGCCGCGGUAAUAC
RNAcentral lists this ribosomal RNA (406 nucleotides) under uncultured bacterium. RNAcentral's name for it is "partial 16S ribosomal RNA". It matches the Rfam family "Bacterial small subunit ribosomal RNA", at positions 30 to 526 of the family's 1533-position model. The record is from RNAcentral.